AGCGAACGCUGGCGGCAGGCUUAACACAUGCAAGUCGAGCGCCCCGCAAGGGGAGCGGCAGACGGGAGAGUAACACGUGGGAACAUACCUUUUGGUUCGGAACAACUGAGGGAAACUUCAGCUAAUACCGGAUAAGCCCUUACGGGGAAAGAUUUAUCGCCGAAAGAUUGGCCCGCGUCUGAUUAGCUAGUUGGUGAGGUAACGGCUCACCAAGGCGACGAUCAGUAGCUGGUCUGAGAGGAUGAUCAGCCUCACUGGGACUGAGACACGGCCCAGACUCCUACGGGAAGCAGCAGUGGGGAAUAUUGGACAAUGGGGGCAACCCUGAUCCAGCCAUGCCGCGUGAGUGAUGAAGGCCUUAGGGUUGUAAAGCUCUUUUGCCCGGGGAGAUAAUGACGGUACCGGGAGAAUAAGCCCCGGCUAACUUCGUG
Molecule: ribosomal RNA, 431 nt
Filed under: uncultured bacterium
Lineage: Bacteria
Description: partial 16S ribosomal RNA
Rfam family: Bacterial small subunit ribosomal RNA
Source: RNAcentral